UCCCUGCUGGCUCAGUCAGUAAAGAAUCUGCCUGCAAUGCUGAAGAUCUGGGUUCCAUCCCUGGGUUGGGAA
Molecule: transfer RNA, 72 nt
Filed under: Capra hircus (goat)
Lineage: Eukaryota; Metazoa; Chordata; Mammalia; Artiodactyla; Bovidae
Also listed under: 1 other name
Rfam family: tRNA
About the family: Transfer RNA (tRNA) molecules are approximately 80 nucleotides in length. Their secondary structure includes four short double-helical elements and three loops (D, anti-codon, and T loops). Further hydrogen bonds mediate the characteristic L-shaped molecular structure. tRNAs have two regions of fundamental functional importance: the anti-codon, which is responsible for specific mRNA codon recognition, and the 3' end, to which the tRNAs corresponding amino acid is attached (by aminoacyl-tRNA synthetases). tRNAs cope with the degeneracy of the genetic code in two manners: having more than one tRNA (with a specific anti-codon) for a particular amino acid; and 'wobble' base-pairing, i.e. permitting non-standard base-pairing at the 3rd anti-codon position.
Source: Rfam by way of RNAcentral